RNAcentral lists this ribosomal RNA (552 nucleotides) under Bagrichthys macracanthus (black lancer catfish). RNAcentral describes it as "partial 16S ribosomal RNA". It matches the Rfam family "Bacterial large subunit ribosomal RNA", at positions 1840 to 2600 of the family's 2925-position model. Lineage: Eukaryota; Metazoa; Chordata; Actinopteri; Siluriformes; Bagridae. The record is from RNAcentral.
CACGUAUAGGAGGUCUUGCCUGCCCAGUGACAAGUUAAACGGCCGCGGUAUUUUGACCGUGCGAAGGUAGCGCAAUCACUUGUCUUUUAAAUGAAGACCUGUAUGAAUGGUGGAACGAGGGCUUAGCUGUCUCCCCUUUCAAGUCAAUGAAAUUGAUCUGCCCGUGCAGAAGCGGACAUAUUCCUACAAGACGAGAAGACCCUUUGGAGCUUAAGACACAAAAUCAACUAUGUCAAAAAUCCUUAACUAGAUUAAACCAAAUAGCAACUGAUUCCCGUCUUCGGUUGGGGCGACCACGGGAGAAAAUAAAGCUCCCACGCGGACUGGGAUUCUUCCUAAAACCAAGAGAGACAUCUCUAAGUCACAGAAAUUUCUGACCAUAAAGAUCCGGGCCACAAUCCCGAUCAACGAACCAAGUUACCCUAGGGAUAACAGCGCAAUCCCCUUUCAGAGUCCAUAUCGACAGGGGUUUACGACCUCGAUGUUGGAUCACGACAUCCUAAUGGUGCAGCCGCUAUUAAAGGUUCGUUUGUUCAACGAUUAAGUCCUACG